This 4213-nucleotide long non-coding RNA is filed under the name Citrus sinensis (sweet orange). Its description in RNAcentral is "long non-coding RNA (CSIN_LNC001992)". The record is from RNAcentral. Lineage: Eukaryota; Viridiplantae; Streptophyta; Magnoliopsida; Sapindales; Rutaceae.
AACAGCUGAAUUUGUUUCUUUUGGGGAAUUACAGCGCGAAUCUAAGCUCAAACGCAAGUCUGAUCGCAACUUUCUAUACCUGCCAACCAGAAAACACGGUUAGGAUACGCCGGUGGGGUUCCGGCGUAGACCCUCUGAUGCUUAAGUUAGAAAUUAUGUAUAAAGGGAGAAAAAUGAGAAUGAAGAAUUAUGAAUGAGUUAAAGUCAAGUAAUUUUCCAGUAAAGGGGUUGAAAAUCUUGUAGAAGCUUUGGUUGAUUUUUCUAACCCCCUGGCCUGAUGCGCUCUUCAGUUUAAAUAGGCUCUUGGUCGUGGACGGUUACCUCCUUAACUUCAACCUGCUUUCUUUAUCAGUUGCAAGUGGUUGUCAGUUGGAGGUGGUUUAAAUAGAUCGUGGCACACAUCUUUCUUAUAAAUUAGGCCACAUUCUCUUAACUAGUAAUUUUCCAUGUCAAGCUAAUUCUCAGGUCGGACAAGAGAAUUUCGAGGUCGGAUUACUUCACUUUCAGAAUAGACAGAUGAAUUUCUCAGUCGCUCAUAUAGCCUUGAGGUUGUAUUCUUAAACUAGGUCUUUCACAUAGAUCUCAUAUUGUACUUGUAAACCAGGUCGCCAACAUAGGCUCCAGGUUGUACUUAUGAGGUCAACUCAACAGCAAUAAGUUCUGAGUAGAUUAGGAUCGACUAUAUUUCGAGCCACUACCAGAAAAAUCCAACCCAAACACCAGUCCCCUAGUUUUCAAUAUCGGAAAGUCAUUGCCGGUGUUGGAAACUAAUUAUUUAAAAAUAGAAAAAUUUUCUCAAAACCCAACACCAGUCCCCUAGUUUUCAAUACUGAGAAGAUAUGAACGGUAUUGGAAACUAAAACAAUUAAGAAAUAGCAAUAUGGCCGCAAGCAAAAGAAAAACGGUGUAGAGCGGAACGAUGAACAAAGAGAAGGGUAAGAAGAAACCUUCAGGUUGAAGGUGAGGUCUCCCUAACUAGUAGGGUUGUUGAAGAACAAGAGAGAACUUCCUAAAUUUAAUUAUUACAAUGAUUGCCCCUUUUUGCAAUAUGAACUUGUAUAGACCAUAUGCUACUGAACUUUAUUUUGCUUUUAUAGUCGGAUAAUUAUUAUGCUAACCUUGCAUUUUUUACUCUUUAUUUACUGGGGCUGGUUAUGACUUGCAUUUCGUAAACUGGGCCCAUCUAAGACUCUGUUGAGGUCAAACAAAUAGAUAUGGUCAACUUUGGUAGCAAUAAGACCGAGCAAUGACCUUGAAUUCAUCAAGAUUAUAUCAUUUCGAUGUCAAUCUCGAUAAGGAAAAUGUUGAUCUCACGAAAAUGUCAACCUCAACAAGAUAGAUUGUUGACCUUAACAAGGUUAAGUGUAGAACUAAAAUGCCGACCUCACAACAAGGAAAAUGUUGACCUCACAAAAAUGUCAAUCUUAACAAGAUAGACCUGUGACCUCAACAAGGUUAAGUAUAGAGCUAAAACACCGAACUCACGACAAGGAAAAUGUUGACCUCAUGAAAAUAUCAACCUUAAUAAGAUAGACUAUCGACCUCAACAAGGUUAAGUGUAGAGCUAAAACGCCGACCUCACGAUAAGGAAAAUGUUGACCUCAUGUAAAUGUCAACCUUAACAAGAUAGACUGUCAACCUCAACAAGGUUAAGUGUAAAGCUAAAACGCCGACCUUAUGAUCUCACGACAAGAAACAUGCUAACCUCACGAAAAUGUCAACCUCAACAAGAUAGAGUGUGGAACGCAAUAAGGUUAAAAUGUAAAGCUAAAAUGCCGACCUAAAAAAAAAUUGAAAAUUGGAGAACUUAAAUGUUAAGCAUAUGGCCGACCUCAACAAGGCAAUAGCCGACCUAAACAAAAUUGAAAAUUGGAGAACUUAAAUAUUCAGCUUAUGACCGACCUCAACAAGACAAUGGCCGACUUCAAGAAAAUUGAAAAUUGGACAACUUAAAUGUUAAGCUUAUGGCCGAUCUCAACAAGGGAAUGACCGACCUCAAUAAAAUAAAAAAAUUGGACAACUUAAUUGUUAAGCUAAUGACUGACCUCAACAAAAUUGAAAAUUGUAGAACUUAAAUGUUAAGCCUAUAGCCGACCUCAACAAGGUAAUGACCGACCUCAAUAAUGUUAUGGCCGACCUUAACAAAAUUGAAAAUUGUAGAACUUAAAUGUUAAGCCUAUAGCCGACCUCAACAAGGUAAUGACCGACCUCAAUAAUGUUAUGGCCGACCUUAACAAAAUUGAAAAUUGUAGAACUUAAAUGUUAAGCCUAUAGCCGACCUCAACAAGGUAAUGACCGACCUCAAUAAUGUUAUGGCCGACCUUAACAAAAUUGAAAAUUGUAGAACUUAAAUGUUAAGCCUAUAGCCGACCUCAACAAGGUAAUGACCGACCUCAAUAAUGUUAUGGCCGACCUUAACAAAAUUGAAAAUUGUAGAACUUAAAUGUUAAGCCUAUAGCCGACCUCAACAAGGUAAUGACCGACCUCAAUAAUGUUAUGGCCGACCUUAACAAAAUUGAAAAUUGUAGAACUUAAAUGUUAAGCGUAUGGCUGACCUCAACAAGGAAAUGGUCGACCUCAACAAAAUUAAAAAUUGUAGAACUUAAAUGUUUAGCUUAUGGCCGACCUCAACAAAAUUGAAAAUUGGAGAACUGAAAUGUUAAGCUUAUGGCUGAAAUUGACAAGGCAAUGGCCGACCUCAACAAAAUUGAAAAUUGUAGAACUUAAAUGUUAAGCCUAUAGCCGACCUCAACAAGGUAAUGACCGACCUCAAUAAUGUUAUGGCCGACCUUAACAAAAUUGAAAAUUGUAGAACUUAAAUGUUAAGCCUAUAGCCGACCUCAACAAGGUAAUGACCGACCUCAAUAAUGUUAUGGCCGACCUUAACAAAAUUGAAAAUUGUAGAACUUAAAUGUUAAGCCUAUAGCCGACCUCAACAAGGUAAUGACCGACCUCAAUAAUGUUAUGGCCGACCUUAACAAAAUUGAAAAUUGUAGAACUUAAAUGUUAAGCCUAUAGCCGACCUCAACAAGGUAAUGACCGACCUCAAUAAUGUUAUGGCCGACCUUAACAAAAUUGAAAAUUGUAGAACUUAAAUGUUAAGCCUAUAGCCGACCUCAACAAGGUAAUGACCGACCUCAAUAAUGUUAUGGCCGACCUUAACAAAAUUGAAAAUUGUAGAACUUAAAUGUUAAGCGUAUGGCUGACCUCAACAAGGAAAUGGUCGACCUCAACAAAAUUAAAAAUUGUAGAACUUAAAUGUUUAGCUUAUGGCCGACCUCAACAAAAUUGAAAAUUGGAGAACUGAAAUGUUAAGCUUAUGGCUGAAAUUGACAAGGCAAUGGCCGACCUCAACAAAAUUGAAAAUUGUAGAACUUAAAUGUUAAGCCUAUAGCCGACCUCAACAAGGUAAUGACCGACCUCAAUAAUGUUAUGGCCGACCUUUUAAAUAGGCUCUUGGUCGUGGACGGUUACCUCCUUAACUUCAACCUGCUUUCUUUAUCAGUUGCAAGUGGUUGUCAGUUGGAGGUGGUUUAAAUAGAUCGUGGCACACAUCUUUCUUAUAAAUUAGGCCACAUUCUCUUAACUAGUAAUUUUCCAUGUCAAGCUAAUUCUCAGGUCGGACAAGAGAAUUUCGAGGUCGGAUUACUUCACUUUCAGAAUAGACAGAUGAAUUUCUCAGUCGCUCAUAUAGCCUUGAGGUUGUAUUCUUAAACUAGGUCUUUCACAUAGAUCUCAUAUUGUACUUGUAAACCAGGUCGCCAACAUAGGCUCCAGGUUGUACUUAUGAGGUCAACUCAACAGCAAUAAGUUCUGAGUAGAUUAGGAUCGACUAUAUUUCGAGCCACUACCAGAAAAAUCCAACCCAAACACCAGUCCCCUAGUUUUCAAUAUCGGAAAGUCAUUGCCGGUGUUGGAAACUAAUUAUUUAAAAAUAGAAAAAUUUUCUCAAAACCCAACACCAGUCCCCUAGUUUUCAAUACUGAGAAGAUAUGAACGGUAUUGGAAACUAAAACAAUUAAGAAAUAGCAAUAUGGCCGCAAGCAAAAGAAAAACGGUGUAGAGCGGAACGAUGAACAAAGAGAAGGGUAAGAAGAAACCUUCAGGUUGAAGGUGAGGUCUCCCUAACUAGUAGGGUUGUUGAAGAACAAGAGAGAACUUCCUAAAUUUAAUUAUUACAAUGAUUGCCCCUUUUUGCAAUAUGAACUUGUAU